Molecule: non-coding RNA, 126 nt
Organism: Cyanistes caeruleus (blue tit)
Lineage: Eukaryota; Metazoa; Chordata; Aves; Passeriformes; Paridae
Source: RefSeq, a predicted model, not a curated record
CAAAUACGAUGACUUCAUAUUUGUACUUGAUAUUAUCAGCAGGCUGAUGCAGGUUGGAGAAGAAUUUUGUGGCAGUAAGUCUGAAGUUUUGCAAGAAUCAAUCAGAAGACAAAGUGUUAACUAUUU